This 433-nucleotide ribosomal RNA is filed under the name uncultured bacterium. RNAcentral's name for it is "partial 16S ribosomal RNA". It matches the Rfam family "Bacterial small subunit ribosomal RNA", at positions 38 to 507 of the family's 1533-position model. The record is from RNAcentral.
GGGGGGGGGGGGGGGGGGGGGUGGGGGGGGCGGGGGGGGCGGGGGCUUGGGGGCUGGUGGCUGAGUGGUUGGUAGCGGGUGGGAGCCUGCGCGUAGUGUGGGGCUAACUCGCCGCGAGGGGUGUUAAUACCGUAUGGUGUCUUCUUCCGAAAGAGUUAUCGCCUUUGGAUGGGCCCGCGUUGGAUUAGCUAGUUGGUAGUGUAACAGCGUCCCAAGGCGCCGAUCCAUAGCUGGUCUGUGCGGAUGAUCAGCCACACUGGGACUGAGACACGGCCCAGACUCCUACGGGAGGCAGCAGUGGGGAAUAUUGGACAAUGGGCGAAAGCCUGAUCCAGCAAUGCAGCGUGAGUGAUGAAGGCCUUAGGGUUGUAAAGCUAUUUUACCCGGGAUGAUAAUGACAGUACCGGGAGAAUAAGCUCCGGCUAACUCCGUG